UAGAGAUUGCUGUUAGAUUUUGAAAAUCCUUUGUGGAAUUUUUUGUUUCCAGUUGUUGGCCUUUACCUGCUAGGUUUAGACAAAAAUGGAAGAUUAUUCUUCUCGUUGGUAUUUGCUUGCUCUGUUUUUCUUUUGCUUUGCCUUUGAAAAUUCCAAUGAAGACAUUGAAAGCAUGCUUGUUUUUCUUUUUAUUGCUCCUAAUUGAAAAAGAAAAAAAAAAGUGUAAAAUCUGUUUUCUUGGUGCAAUUUUUGUGUAGGGAGAAAAUCAAUCACAGGGAGCUUCAU
Molecule: unclassified non-coding RNA, 285 nt
Filed under: Hevea brasiliensis (rubber tree)
Lineage: Eukaryota; Viridiplantae; Streptophyta; Magnoliopsida; Malpighiales; Euphorbiaceae
Source: RNAcentral